CACGUAGUUAGCCGUGGCUUUCUGAUUAGGUACCGUCAAGACGUACAUAGUUACUUACACAUUUGUUCUUCCCUAAUAACAGAGUUUUACGAUCCGAAGACCUUCAUCACUCACGCGGCGUUGCUCCGUCAGGCUUUCGCCCAUUGCGGAAGAUUCCCUACUGCUGCCUCCCGUAGGAGUCUGGACCGUGUCUCAGUUCCAGUGUGGCCGAUCACCCUCUCAGGUCGGCUACGCAUCGUCGCCUUGGUAAGCCGUUACCUUACCAACUAGCUAAUGCGGCGCGGAUCCAUCUAUAAGUGACAGCAAAACCGUCUUUCACUAUUGAACCAUGCGGUUCAAUAUAUUAUCCGGUAUUAGCUCCGGUUUCCCGAAGUUAUCCCAGUCUUAUAGGUAGGUUAUCCACGUGUUACUCACCCGUCCGCCGCUAACGUCAGAGGAGCAAGCUCCUCGUCUGUUCGCUCGACUUGCAUGUAUUAGGCACGCCGCCAGCGUUCAUCCUGAGCCAGGA
This 508-nucleotide ribosomal RNA is filed under the name uncultured Staphylococcus sp. RNAcentral describes it as "partial 16S ribosomal RNA". The record is from RNAcentral. Lineage: Bacteria; Bacillati; Bacillota; Bacilli; Caryophanales; Staphylococcaceae.